CCAUCAUCUCCUCAAAGACGACUGACUGCUACUCCACAAAAAGGAACAUGAUGCUAAACAUACAGGCGGUGAACCAUGUUAAUCCAGCUGCUUGGCCAGGGAAUAAGUGGAAAAAGUCAAUUACUUUGAUUUGGUAACUAAAGAAUAUGUAAGUAAAGUAGCAAGGAAGACAAUGUUAAUUCUUUAUCCUCACAAAAUUCCUAAAGAAGUUUCUCCACGAAUGAGAUACCUCGGUAUCCGAAUGUUUUCAACAUUUAAGUUUUUUAUUUUGUAGGCUGGAAAUGAUUUAUUAUUACUAUUGUUUCGUAAACAAAUAUUGUAAGGUUACGUGACAAAGUCUGCAAGGUUUACAAAAGUUCGCAAGGUUACGCGAUGUAAGGAUUUUUUUUUUAUAAAGAA
Molecule: long non-coding RNA, 399 nt
Organism: Camelina sativa (false flax)
Lineage: Eukaryota; Viridiplantae; Streptophyta; Magnoliopsida; Brassicales; Brassicaceae
Source: RefSeq, a predicted model, not a curated record